Molecule: ribosomal RNA, 92 nt
Filed under: Battarrea stevenii
Lineage: Eukaryota; Fungi; Basidiomycota; Agaricomycetes; Agaricales; Agaricaceae
Description: partial 5.8S ribosomal RNA
Rfam family: 5.8S ribosomal RNA
About the family: 5.8S ribosomal RNA (5.8S rRNA) is a component of the large subunit of the eukaryotic ribosome.
Source: RNAcentral
AUGUCAAUUGCAGAAUUCAGUGAAUCAUCGAAUCUUUGAACGCACCUUGCGCUCCUUGGUAUUCCGAGGAGCAUGCCUGUUUGAGUGUCAUU